RNAcentral lists this ribosomal RNA (253 nucleotides) under uncultured bacterium. Its description in RNAcentral is "partial 16S ribosomal RNA". It matches the Rfam family "Bacterial small subunit ribosomal RNA", at positions 524 to 776 of the family's 1533-position model. The record is from RNAcentral.
UACGUAGGGGGCAAGCGUUAUCCGGAAUUACUGGGUGUAAAGGGUGAGUAGGCGGCAUGGUAAGCCAGAUGUGAAAGCCUUGGGCUUAACCCGAGGAUUGCAUUUGGAACUAUCAAGCUAGAGUACAGGAGAGGAAAGCGGAAUUCCUAGUGUAGCGGUGAAAUGCGUAGAUAUUAGGAAGAACACCAGUGGCGAAGGCGGCCUGCUGGACGGUGACUGACGCUGAGGCUCGAAAGCGUGGGGAGCAAACAGG